GACGAACGCUGGCGGCGCGCUUAACACAUGCAAGUCGAACGGAAAGGCCUGCUUUCCCUUGUGGAUUGCGGGUACUCGAGUGGCGAACGGGUGAGUAACACGUGAGUGAUCUGCCCCCAACUUGGGUAUAAGCCUGGGAAACUGGGUCUAAUUCCCGAUAGGACUGCAGGGUGGUGCCUGUGGUGGAAAACGAUUUUCUAGUGGUUGGGGAUGAGCUCGCGGCCUAUCAGCUUGUUGGUGGGGUAAUGGCCUACCAAGGCGGCGACGGGUAGCCGGCCUGAGAGGGUGGACGGCCACAGUUGGACUGAGACUCCGCCCAGACUCCUACGGGAGGCAGCAGUGGGGAAUAUUGCACAAUGGGCGGAAGCCUGAUGCCGCGACGCCGAGUAGGGGAUGACGGCCUUCGGGUUGUAAACUCCUUUCGACCGCGAGGAAGCCACCUGGUUGGAAGGGUGGUGACGGUAGUGGUAGAAGAAGCACCGGCUAACUACGUG
RNAcentral lists this ribosomal RNA (494 nucleotides) under uncultured bacterium. RNAcentral describes it as "partial 16S ribosomal RNA". It matches the Rfam family "Bacterial small subunit ribosomal RNA", at positions 28 to 507 of the family's 1533-position model. The record is from RNAcentral.